UGUCAUCCCCUGUGUUACUCCUCCAGUUUACUCCUCUUGCUUUCCUCUUGCCUCCUGUGUAUUUUAACCUUUGAUGGACUUUGUUUUAAUUCCAGGCCAGUCACCUGAUUGAAAAGGACUCUCUGGUGGAUUCUGCCGAUAGAUGAGGAGUAGACACCUGUUGACUCCCUGCUACCCUGAGCUGGGGUCGACGUUUGGGAAUGACCUUCCUGUGAUUUGAACUUUUCAACAACAUCAAGCCUGCUGCAGCAACAAAGCCACAGACCCAAAGGACUUUUUCCCCUCACACCCUCUCAGCAUAAGUGCUCUUUGAACUUGAGGGUAGACAAUAUAAGUUUUCUUUUGGACCUAAGGUGAUACAUAUUUAUUAAUAGAAACUUUUAAAGCUUUAAUGUUUUAUUCUUUCAGCCACUUUCUUUAUCAUCCUACCAUAAAAAAACACGACUAUUAUGAAUUUGAACCCUAUGUGAGGCCUGUUGGAAAUAUUGAAAUCAUGGGGGCUCCAUUAGAGUAGUCCAAGAGCCUUAAUCAGGAAAGAAGAUGAAAUAA
This is a long non-coding RNA of Cheilinus undulatus (humphead wrasse), 549 nucleotides long. RefSeq lists it as uncharacterized. NCBI's taxonomy places the organism in Eukaryota, Metazoa, Chordata, Actinopteri, Labriformes, Labridae. The transcript is spliced from 3 exons. The record is from RefSeq and is a predicted model, not a curated record.